This is a long non-coding RNA of Oreochromis niloticus (Nile tilapia), 2189 nucleotides long. RefSeq lists it as uncharacterized. The record is from RefSeq and is a predicted model, not a curated record. NCBI's taxonomy places the organism in Eukaryota, Metazoa, Chordata, Actinopteri, Cichliformes, Cichlidae. The transcript has 3 exons.
GGACGAGAAAAGAGCUACCAUUGAACAGACGAGUUAAAGAAAACACACUCUGCAAUCUCAUCAUCUUUCUGAUCGUGUUUUAGAAACACAAUAUUGAUCUUUUAGCUGUUGUGUAACCACAUCAAUCCCCAUAAUCAAUACUUUUGUUAUGAAAUAGGUCAAGCGCCACUCUUUGUCCCAUGAAAAACACAACACAGUUGCAUCAACACUAACCCUAACUAACUCUUAUCUACGGAUAUGAAGAAUGGAUGCGGAGCCACAAAGUCUGGAUUUGGAAACAGUCGUUCAGCGUUGUUUUCUUACAAUUUUGAGGUUUAAAAAAAAAAAAAAAAAAAAAUUACUAUUAAUGUCUGACAGCAGGUCACCCGCUUCCUCUGCAGUACAUUUCUGUUCACAAUCCCUGCUUUGGAUGGGAUUUUCUUUUCAUAAAAAAAAAAGGUCUUGUAUCACAGUAUCACAUCCAGUAUUACGCAACAGCCAAUAUUCACACAUCCACACACACACACACACACACACACACACGCCUCUAUUUGGGAAACAGACCAUUAGACGAGUCAUUUCAGCAACAUACCAGCUACCUUGCUAGAAGUGGAAAUGCUGCCACCUUCCCUUUCAUGAAACAAAGAGAAGCACUAGGAGAGGUGGGGAACGACAGAGAGGCAAACAAAGCUCUGCGAAGCAGGACUAUCAAAGAGAAAACAGCCUUUGAGGCAGACAAAGAAAAGUAAGACACAGCAGUAACUACUCUGUGUGUGCGUGUGUGAGACAGCCACAAAUAAAAAAAAAACAAAAAAAACAAACAAACAAAGGGAGCAACAAGAAGCCUGGAAGAGGGGAAGAGAUGAGAAGACUCAAAGCGACUGAGGAGUAAGAGCAGCGUGAAAGAGGGCAGAAGAGCGGCGAAUGAAAUUUGUUAUUGUCCACGUUCCUCCCCCCUCACGUGCAGUUUGUCAUCAGUGACAGUGGAAUUAUCCCUCUCAACUAUAAUCUCAACCUCCACUGCUAAUCUCAGGCUCGCCCGAGCACCACUCCUCCUCCGGAUGACGUCCCCAUAAGCAAAUUAGCACGCAGCCUAAAGCAGAGGCACUCAGCUGGCAGCACCAUCAGGGGAAACAAGAGGAUGACACGUUCCCCAACAGACUCCUAAUUGCCAACUGGUUUUGCGAUUUCUGACAGUUUAGGCUCGGCCAAGUUUGACAAAAAAAACCCCAAAACUAAACAAAGAAACGACAAGAAGUUUCCGAUCAGCAGGAUGGAUGCCAAAGAACAGGCGCUGAACCUCCUCGGCAGAAUCUGGGUCAAGCUUCAAGGUCUGCCCAACGCCAACCCCAUAGAGCUGGGAGCUUUCUUCGUCCUGCUAACUUUUAUUCUUGUAGUCCUGCUCAUCACAGUGGUGACCUGUGCAAGCUUCUGCUGCGGCUGCUGCAGCUGCUGCUGUCGCAAGAGGAAACUAAAGGGUUCCGACCUUUGAGCAAAAACAGACACAACUGCAAGCUCUCCACACAGCGAGUCCUGAUCGUGUUUUAGACACACACACACACACUCUACAGGGUGCAUGCUGUGCUGUGCAGCACUAAAGAACCUCAGCCCUUGGACAACAAAACACUUGCCAAACACAGUGAAGGAUGUCCUGCAACGCUGCCAAACACACCAGUUUAAGUCAACAGGCUUUCAGGAGAGUCUACAUUCCUUGGAGCAUCACUGCACUCGACGGGGCAACAACGAUCCCUGAGGACAGGGCAGGGGCGACUCCAGCUGUGUGUGAAUCAGGCAGAAACGUCUUGGACCAUACAAGACUGAACAUGUGUAUAAAACUAACUUUAGGCAAACAGUGAGAAAUGACUGGGAAAGCCCGAUUGGAUUUUUUUUUUCCUCAGAGCUUUCUAAACAUGAUGAUGUGUCACUCUAAAGGAAUGAGAACUGGCAGUCAGACUUCUGAGUUAGGCAAGAGCCUCAAGCAGGAAGCAGCUUUCAAAGGAUGGUAAGAGAGGAAGUCUGCCCUCUGCUGUCCGGAAACAGAAAUGCACUCUUUAUCUAAAACUGCACGUUACAUACUGUGGAACAGGUGAAGGCGUUAUGUUAUGAUGUAAUGCUUUAAGCCUGCACUUAUUGUCUGUUAUGCUUUGAUCUGUAUGUAAAUAAUAAUAAAAAUAAUAAUAAUAAUAACCUGUCACCGCAUGUGUGAAUAC